Molecule: long non-coding RNA, 542 nt
Organism: Cygnus olor (mute swan)
Lineage: Eukaryota; Metazoa; Chordata; Aves; Anseriformes; Anatidae
Exons: 2
Source: RefSeq, a predicted model, not a curated record
GAGGUUUGAAGGGACUCUGUGGAGAUCUUCUGGUUCAACCCCACUGCACGAAGCAGGGUCACUAGAGCCAGCUGCCCAGGACCAUGUCUAGAUGGCUUUUGAGUAUCUCUAAGCCUUGCUGGGCAACCUGUCCCAGAAUUUGACCAUCCUCAGGAUAGUGCAGUGGGUGCCAAGCUGCUGGCUCAGAGAAUGGUGCUCAGAUGGACAUGCCGAGGGAUGCCCACAGACGUAGAACCCACCAUCCAGCAGCUUUUCUGCUCUGGACACAGAGGCAGAUUGUUUCCCCCUGUGAUCAGACCUUUCCUCUUGCAGAGCACUCCUUGAAACUCAUAUAUCCUUUUUGCGCAAGUGCUUUGUUCUAAUGUCCAUCUGGUUUUGACUAGAAGAGUCCUCGGGGCAAAGAAAGAGAGACUAUGGCUCUACUUAUUUAACCACAGUAUUCUGAUAAGGAUAUAUGAAUUUCCCGUUAACAUAGGAGCCACAUACUUCUUUCUGCUUUAUCCAUUCAGUGUACAUUAAAUAAUCAAUAAAGAUUUUUUUUC